UACGUAGGGGGCAAGCGUUGUCCGGAAUUAUUGGGCGUAAAGCGCGCGCAGGCGGUGAGGAAAGUCUGAUGUAUAAACCUGAGGCUCAACCUUGGGGCGCAUUGGAAACUGGCUGACUGGAGUGUAGGAGAGGGAAGUGGAAUUCCACGUGUAGCGGUGAAAUGCGUAGAGAUGUGGAGGAACACCAGUGGCGAAGGCGACUUUCUGGCCUAUAACUGACGCUGAGGCGCGAAAGCGUGGGGAGCAAACAGG
This 252-nucleotide ribosomal RNA is filed under the name uncultured bacterium. Its description in RNAcentral is "partial 16S ribosomal RNA". It matches the Rfam family "Bacterial small subunit ribosomal RNA", at positions 524 to 776 of the family's 1533-position model. The record is from RNAcentral.